UCUGACUUAUAGCCAAGCGGUCCCACUAGAGUUCCCAACUAAAUGAUGGUAACUAGCGGCGAGGGUUGCGCUCGUUGCGGGACUUAACCCAACAUCUCACAACACGAGCUGACGACAGCCAUGCAGCACCUGUCACCGGGUCCCCGAAGGGAACCCCUGCUUUCACAGGGUAGCCCGGGAUGUCAAGCCUGGGUAAGGUUCUUCGCGUAGCAUCGAAUUGAACCACAUGCUCCACCGCUUGUGCGGGCCCCCGUCAAUUCCUUUGAGUUUUAAUCUUGCGACCGUACUUCCCAGGCGGGAUACUUAAUGCGUUAGCUUCGACACCGAAACUAUUAGGUAUUCCGACGUCUAGUAUCCAUAGUUUAGGGCGUGGACUAC
RNAcentral lists this unclassified non-coding RNA (378 nucleotides) under uncultured delta proteobacterium. RNAcentral describes it as "contains 16S-23S intergenic spacer region". Lineage: Bacteria; Deltaproteobacteria. The record is from RNAcentral.